RNAcentral lists this long non-coding RNA (233 nucleotides) under Elaeis guineensis (African oil palm). RNAcentral's name for it is "long non-coding RNA (EGUI_LNC075990)". The record is from RNAcentral. Lineage: Eukaryota; Viridiplantae; Streptophyta; Magnoliopsida; Arecales; Arecaceae.
CCUAAGAGCGAUCCUGUACCAUCCUGACACAUCAGGACGGUUGGCGAAGUGAGCUAUGAGACUGAGUGAGUUUGACAUUCAAUACCGACCGUGAUCCACUCUGAAAGCCCAGGUUCUGGCCGACUUUGUCGCAGAAUGCCCGACGACCGAUCGAGCAUCGAAAGAGGGGAGCCCCGAAGAGGUUGGGACCUCCGAAUGUGACCUCGAUUCAACCUGGGUGUUGCACAUCGACG